RNAcentral lists this ribosomal RNA (407 nucleotides) under uncultured bacterium. RNAcentral describes it as "partial 16S ribosomal RNA". It matches the Rfam family "Bacterial small subunit ribosomal RNA", at positions 30 to 526 of the family's 1533-position model. The record is from RNAcentral.
CUUGAGCGCUGGCGGCAGGCCUAACACAUGCAAGUCGAGCGGAUCGGCGGCCGGGCGUGUAAUGCCUAGGCAUCUGCCUGGUAGUGGUGGAUAACGUCCCGACCCGGGCGCUACUACCGCUUACUAUCUGAUGCUCCUAGGUCGGAUUAGCUAGUUGGUGGGGUAAAGGCCUACCAAGGCGACGAUCCGUAACUGUUCUGAGAGGAUGAUCAGUCACACUGGAACUGGGACACGGUCCAGACGCCUACGGGAGGCAGCAGUGGGAAAUAUUGGACAAUGAGCGAAAGCCUGAUCCAGCCAUGCCGCGUGUGUGAAGAAGGUCUUCGGAUUGUAAAGCACUUUAAGUUGGGAGGCGUUACCAACAGAAUAGGCACCGGCUAACUUCGUGCCAGCAGCCGCGGUAAUUC